Molecule: long non-coding RNA, 1352 nt
Filed under: Phasianus colchicus (ring-necked pheasant)
Lineage: Eukaryota; Metazoa; Chordata; Aves; Galliformes; Phasianidae
Description: lncRNA (ENSPCLG00000021437.1)
Source: RNAcentral
AUCUAAAGGAAAAAAAGGAAAAUUGAAGGGAAAACUGUGUAUAAAAUCAGUGAGUCAAAAAGAUAAACACUAAGCUGAAGCACUGAAUAUUCAAUUCUUUUUUUUUACAAAUACAGAAGCUGGCAUUUUAAUUAACAGAGGAAUUAGAUAAUUCUGACUUCAAAGAAGGUGAAGAUGGAACAGAUAUACAAAAUCAACUACAAAAGCCUGGUGUUCACCGCCAUCCAUAGAAAAGUUGGUGAUUAAGCUUCACCUUGACUCUAAUUUGAAUAUUUUUAUGAGAUAUGCUUGUAUAUUUUCUCUGCAUUACACGUAUUUAGAAGCCACAGAAUGGAAUGAUUUUGAAGAGAAGACAAUGGGCCACGUUCAAGACAGAUACAUGGAAUGCAAUCAGAAAGUCCAGGAAUUUCUGAGGAAUUUAGAGGAACUGUGCAAGAAGCUCCAAAUGAAGUUAGAAUGCUGCUUUCACAGUUCACUACCUUUUGAACAUCUGCAAUACACAUCUCUUCUCACCAGAAUGACUUUCACUGUUCUGCACAACACUGACCAGAAUGGUGCAAAUUGCAGGAUGAAACACUGUCUAAGGGGAUGUAAACAAGAGAUUGCAAGGAAACUCAAAAAGAUUUUGUUGUAGCUGUCACUAAAAAUGAUGUUAGCAUACAGAGAAAGAGCAUGAUGUCUUUUGUUUAUCAAGCUUAUAUUACAAUAAGGUUUCUUACUAUAUUGAUAUUAUAUAUCUACAGAAUUUAAGCCCAGUGCAGACUCAGAAGAAGUUAAGAAAAAAGCUUUAGCUUUCUGGUCUCAUUGUUAGAUGAAAUUUUUGUUUAUAUAUGAAUAGGUAUAUGUAUUUACAUACCCAAUCAGAUCCCAACAAGAGUACAAGACAGUCUUCAUGUCUGUUUUGCUUAUAUAUUUCUUUUUUUUAGUACAAAGUCCAAUUUCAGUUUUACACACUGUCCUAGUACCAUUGAAAUGAAUGUUUGUAAUAAGAGGCACAAUUACAGCACUCAUUAAGACAAGAGUGUUGUUUCAGUGACUUUUUGUUCUAUGUCUUAAUGCCUGGCUGACUCUGAUGGUUUCUGGACUGUGGUUUUUAUUAAUACCUCCUUGAAUGGAUCUCUCCUUAGUGUUGGGUUUUUAAACAGAGCAAUCUAUGAAAAUAAUGAUAAAAUAUCCAAGAAAACAGUUCACUAAUAAUGGCAGAAAUAUUAACUGUCCACAAAGAGAUUAGUUGUUUUCUGCAAAGCAAACAGCUGAUAUUUUCAAAAUAUCUGAUGUCAUGCUAUGUUUCGAUCUGUAUCACAGAACUGACACUAUAGAAAAAUAAAGAUUGUACAUGCCAUGACUGUGCA